Long non-coding RNA from Oncorhynchus tshawytscha (Chinook salmon), 542 nucleotides. NCBI's taxonomy places the organism in Eukaryota, Metazoa, Chordata, Actinopteri, Salmoniformes, Salmonidae. The record is from Ensembl.
CAAAAACCCCAGGAAGAUUGACACUUCAUGUGCACUGGAUUGGCAUAUUUUUGCAUUUCUCAGAGAGCCUGGAUUGGCCUGACUGACAUGAUGAAGAGGAGACCUGGAAAUGGGUGGACACAUAGACACACACACACAUUACAUGUUUUGUAUUUGCAUAUGAAAAUGUUUCCUACUGCCACAACAGCAAACCACUCGCACAAACACACACACUCACUUAAUUUUUUGUAUGAGCACAUGAAGAAAAUCCCUAUUUACUAGCAUCCUGUGUGUUACAUCUGCUUCUGCCACGCCUUCUACUGCUCAUCCUGUGUCUUCUUGACUUGCUGCCACUCCCCCAGGGCUCUCUCCCUCUCCAUCUCUCCCUGUGUGUGUGUGUGUAUACUUAGUCCUGCCUCUUCCACGCUGCCAGAUCGUAAUCUCUGCUCAGUCAGUCUCCGUUUCUAGAUGUUUGUUAAUGUUAGAUCCUGUUAUCCUGUUGUGCCUGUUUUCCUUGUCUGAUGCUGUUUUCCUCUCCGCUACUGUUGUAACCCACUCUGACU